This 61-nucleotide transfer RNA is filed under the name Heterocephalus glaber (naked mole-rat). It matches the Rfam family "tRNA", at positions 6 to 65 of the family's 71-position model. Rfam says of the family: Transfer RNA (tRNA) molecules are approximately 80 nucleotides in length. Their secondary structure includes four short double-helical elements and three loops (D, anti-codon, and T loops). Lineage: Eukaryota; Metazoa; Chordata; Mammalia; Rodentia; Bathyergidae. The record is from Rfam by way of RNAcentral.
UAUGGCUCAGUGGUAGAGCAUUUGCCUAGCAACCAUGAAGCCCUGGGUUCAAUCCUCAGUA